AUUGAACGCUGGCGGCAUGCUUUACACAUGCAAGUCGAACGGUAACAGGCCUUCGGGUGCUGACGAGUGGCGAACGGGUGAGUAAUGCAUAGGAACGUACCCCGAGGUGGGGGAUAACGCAGCGCAAGCUGUGCUAAUACCGCAUGUGAUCUGAGGAUGAAAGCGGGGGACCGAGCAGCAAUGUUUGGCCUCGCGCCUUUGGAGCGGCCGAUGUCGGAUUAGCUAGUUGGUGGGGUAAAGGCCUACCAAGGCGACGAUGCGUAGCCGGUCUGAGAGGACGAACGGCCACACUGGAACUGAGACACGGUCCCGACUCCUACGGGGGGGCGCAGUGGGGAAUUUUUGGCAAUGGGGGAAAGCCUGACGCCGCAAAGCCGCGUGAGUGAAGAAGGUCUUCGGGUCGUAAAACCCUUUUUUUAGGGAAGAAAAAGUGUGUCCGUAACUCCGGGCGUCUUGACGGUACCUAAUCAGAAAGCCACGGCUAACUACGUG
This 492-nucleotide ribosomal RNA is filed under the name uncultured bacterium. RNAcentral describes it as "partial 16S ribosomal RNA". It matches the Rfam family "Bacterial small subunit ribosomal RNA", at positions 30 to 507 of the family's 1533-position model. The record is from RNAcentral.